Molecule: non-coding RNA, 28 nt
Filed under: Rattus norvegicus (Norway rat)
Lineage: Eukaryota; Metazoa; Chordata; Mammalia; Rodentia; Muridae
Source: RNAcentral
UAUUUUUAUGUUUUGGAAGUGAGGUCUC